GACGGGGGGGGCAAGUGUUCUUCGGAAUGACUGGGCGUAAAGGGUUCGCAGGCGGAAAUGCAAGUCAGAUGUAAAAGGCAGUAGCUUAACUACUGUAAGCAUUUGAAACUGCAUAUCUUGAGAAGAGUAGAGGUAAGUGGAAUUUUUAGUGUAGCGGUGAAAUGCGUAGAUAUUAAAAAGAAUACCGGUGGCGAAGGCGACUUACUGGGCUCAUUCUGACGCUGAGGAACGAAAGCGUGGGUAGCAAACAGG
RNAcentral lists this ribosomal RNA (252 nucleotides) under uncultured bacterium. Its description in RNAcentral is "partial 16S ribosomal RNA". It matches the Rfam family "Bacterial small subunit ribosomal RNA", at positions 524 to 776 of the family's 1533-position model. The record is from RNAcentral.